AUUGAACGCUGGCGGCAGGCUUAACACAUGCAAGUCGAGCGGGGUGAUGGUGCUUGCACUAUCACUUAGCGGCGGACGGGUGAGUAAUGCUUAGGAAUCUGCCUAUUAGUGGGGGACAACAUCUCGAAAGGGAUGCUAAUACCUCAUACGUCCUACGGGAGAAAGCAGGGGAUCACUUGUGACCUUGCGCUAAUAGAUGAGCCUAAGUCGGACUAGCUAGUUGGUGGGGUAAAGGCCUACCAAGGCGACGAUCUGUAGCGGGUCAGAGAGGAUGGUCCGCCACACUGGAGCUGAGACACGGCCCAGACUCCUACGGGAGGGAGCAGUGGGGAAUAUUGGACAAUGGGGGGAACCCUGAUCCAGCCAUGCCGCGUCUGUGAAGAAGGCCUUAUGGUUGUAAAGCACUUUAAGCGAGGAGGAGGCUCUUUUGGUUAAUACCCAAGAUGAGUGGACGUUACUCGCAGAAUAAGCACCGGCUAACUCUGUGCCAGCAGCCGCGGUAA
This 503-nucleotide ribosomal RNA is filed under the name uncultured bacterium. Its description in RNAcentral is "partial 16S ribosomal RNA". It matches the Rfam family "Bacterial small subunit ribosomal RNA", at positions 30 to 523 of the family's 1533-position model. The record is from RNAcentral.